GCGCGUCUGAUGUAACGGUAGCAUGCAGGUCUCCAAAACCUUGCAGUGUCGGUUCAAAUCCGGCGGCGUCGCGCCA
This 76-nucleotide transfer RNA is filed under the name Delftia acidovorans. RNAcentral's name for it is "tRNA-Trp". The stretch from base 4 to 68 matches the Rfam family "tRNA". Rfam says of the family: Transfer RNA (tRNA) molecules are approximately 80 nucleotides in length. Their secondary structure includes four short double-helical elements and three loops (D, anti-codon, and T loops). Lineage: Bacteria; Pseudomonadati; Pseudomonadota; Betaproteobacteria; Burkholderiales; Comamonadaceae. The record is from RNAcentral.